RNAcentral lists this ribosomal RNA (496 nucleotides) under uncultured bacterium. RNAcentral's name for it is "partial 16S ribosomal RNA". It matches the Rfam family "Bacterial small subunit ribosomal RNA", at positions 28 to 523 of the family's 1533-position model. The record is from RNAcentral.
GAUGAACGCUAGCGGCAGGCCUAACACAUGCAAGUCGAGGGGUAGAGGUUGCUUGCAACCUUGAGACCGGCGCACGGGUGCGUAACGCGUAUGCAAUCUGCCUUGUACGGAGGGAUAGCCCAGAGAAAUUCGGAUUAAUACCUCAUAGUAUCUUUUCCCGGCAUCGGGAGAUUAUUAAAGCUCCAACGGUACAAGAUGAGCAUGCGUCCCAUUAGCUAGUUGGUAUGGUAACGGCAUACCAAGGCAAUGAUGGGUAGGGGUCCUGAGAGGGAGAACCCCCACACUGGAACUGAGACACGGACAAAACCCCUACGGGAGGAAGCAGUGAGGAAUAUUGGUAAAUGGGCGCAAGCCUGAACCAGCCAUGCCGCGUGCAGGAUGAAGCAUCUAUGGUGUGUAAACUGCUUUUAUACGGGAAGAAACACCGGUUCGUGAACCGGCUUGACGGUACCGUAAGAAUAAGGAUCGGCUAACUCCGUGCCAGCAGCCGCCGUAA